UCACGCACACUCUUGUACAUUGGGUCCCCACCCGCUUCAGCCCAUAAAGAUUUAAUCAACGUGUCGAGAGACAAAAUCAGCCUCAUUAAACAUUCACUGCCGCUUGGCAGGUAGCCAUUCUGUUCCUGCCUUACUCACGCAACAACACACCCGUUUCCUCAAAUCCACAUCGAAUCACAAGGAUCGCCUCUCUCUCCUACCCACAAAGGCUAAACUGCAGGAGAAGCAGAUUUAGACACGGCCCUGAUUUCUUCACGGGUGGAAUGUGCCGUGUGUCCGUGUAAGACAACAUCAAUGCUUCAACCGAGACCUUAGACGGAGUAAUCUGUAAUUCCCUUGUUUUUUCUCUUAAGACGCCACAUAUUCGGUGAAUGUAAAUGUUGUGGCCGUCUGGAGCCGACCGGCACCCGGGAAAGUCUACACGACCUGCUGUAGUCACGUGCACAAGAACUGUACACCCGGUAGUAGCGAGAUGCAUUGGUGCAUUGCAUGUGUAGGAGUUUUAUUUACCUCGGCAUCUGCUCCUCCGCCUUCUCAACAAUUGGUGUGUAGGUGUGUUUGUGUGUGUGUGUGUGUGUGUGUGUGUGUGUGUGUGUGCGCGCACAGUUCUUUGCAUUGUUAGUGCAGGGUUACGUAACGCGUGGCAACUAGAGUUCACAGACCGUUUUGAGUUUCUUCAUUUCAGAUUUGCAGGUUGAAUGUGAAGCGAGAGGAUAUCCUAUUUACGAUACUGCGGCAGAGGGGAGAUGAAAGGAAAGGGGAAAACAAAGAACAGAGAGCAAGGGGAUAAGGGAUAAGACGGAGGAUAGGAGGGGAGGAAGGAUUAGAAGAGACAAGUUGAUAGGCGAAAAGAAAAGAAAGGGGAGUAAAGGGAGUAACGAGAGUGUAAAUGUUUGCUCGCUAUCAACAGCAGCUGUUAUCUAACACUCGGAAUACAUAAACAAACACUCACAUUUUCCUUCUUUCGUGUUAGAUAAUACGACAGCAUAAUCAGCAGGUAUCUGCCUCCUCUCACUGGCCUCUGGAUGAGAAUAAAACAAUGCAUGACAUACUGUUCCUCCUCCAUCCUUCACACUGUUGUUCUCCCCUCUCUCUUCCUUAUCUCUAUACUCCCACUAUCCUUCCAUCAUUCCUCCAUCUCUCCUACCAUCUAACCUGCUUCCCACCCUGCGUCCUUCCUCACUCCCACCUCUCUUCCAUCAUCCCUCCAUCACCAACCCUGCCUUCCCAUUACAGAACACCCCGUGCCCCACCUCCUUCACCGACUCCUUCCUUUUAUUCCUCUCUCAUAGAUUUGUUUCCCAUUCGACAAAGCUUUUAUCUUUCAUAUUACAAAUAUUAGUGAACCAUUUAUACACAACAACAAACAAACACACACAUACACACACACGCUUACAGUACAACACAGCAAAAGAGAAAACAAAAUACCUUCCCCCAGAUGAUUCUAGGUUAUAUAAAUGUUUUAUUGGAUUUCUUGACAUUUGCUGUAUAUUUUCAAUGUGGUUUCACACAGAUUCAAUGAUGCACAAAGACCAGGAGGCUUAUGUGAAGCGAAGCAAAGCGUAUUUAUUAACCAUGCGACUGAAUUAACUCUGUUGUCUGAUGUUUAGAUUUAUAUUUUUGCUCUUUUUAUAUCACACAAGGCUUUGAUGUUCAUAGAGACUAAGGUUAUGUCAUUUUUCAGAUUGGGAUGAAGAUACAUGAUAUUUAAAUAUCGAACUCACUGUUGAGUUUGAUCAAACAGCAACAGUUUGCGAGGUACAUUAAACUGACAAAUAGAACAGAAAGGAUUUUCUUUUUUCCUUUGUUUGCCUAAAGUGGUAAACUUUUAUUUCCUGUACUGAAUACGAACAUGUGAUGUGGGAUGGGAGGCCUUUUUGAAAAAGAUUAACAUGCUGUUAGUGUAGAGCAACCGACCAGGGCGGAUCUGUUGUACACAAUCACAGACACUCGUGCACUGUGGUUUUACCCAGUGUUUUACCCGUCACAUUGAUUCUGUAUUGUGUGUGUGUGUGUGUCUGUAUGAAAGCAGUGGUCCCUCAAAAUGGUGGAGGGAACAUGCCACUGUUUUGUCCCCCCCAACAAAAAAUACAAUUGUUGACUGGGGAAAUUCUGCAUUCAAGUCACUGAGAAAACUCAUUAGAAAAUAUUUUGCAAGCAAGUCACAGAUCCAAAAUCUUUAAACCAGUCUAACAAAAGCAAAUUAAAUUGUUUUGAAAGUUCCAUUUGCUGAUAUAACACAAUGCAUCAAUAAACAGUGUUGCAGUGGCUCCUUAUUUUCCAUGCAUCAUUAACCCAAAAGCAAUGCUGCACCCGACCAGAGUCUGUUUGAACCCUACAAUAGAGGUUGUAUGUGAAAGGACCCAAUAUUCAUACGAAUGACUAAUCUUCACAUCAACAGACCAUCAUUGACAAAGGUUGAAAGGUCCAUUAUAAUGAUUGGUUCCUGCACAAUACCAAUCAGCGACUGCAAAAAUUUUAAUUAAUCCUAAAACAAAGAAAUGCUAAAUUAAAACCAUCAGUCCGUACAUCCCCAGCAUUUGCUACAGUUGGAUGUUGGAGCAGCGAGGUUACUAUGAGGCAGUUACACAAAUUGUAAGUAAGGAGACUCUGUAACACAGUCAAAUCAGUUCAGCUUGCCUCGGGACAUAAACUGCUCAUUUAAGGAGAUUUUCCUUGGUUAAACAGAAAAGAGUCUGCUCUACUUUUUUUUAACCUGCUAAUCAAAGUUCAAAGAAUAAUGGAAAUGGCUGCUGGCGGCAGUCUGUGUUUGGCUCAUUGAAUCGUAUUCACAGUAUAUCCAUUUAACGGAACGGGCCAAAAAAAACCCAAAUUAUUGCAUCGUUGCAGCGUCUUUUUAAGAUUGCUAAUGAAUUCGGAAGAGUACAUUUUAGAGCUUGAACAAUUAUUCAAUUGAUUAGAAGAUCGACGGCAAUGACUUUACAAGUUUUAAAAUGGGAGCAGUCAGACAUUUUUUUGUUUUAAGAUACUACUUUUUGAUGUCAAAAUAGAAAAAUGGCUAAAAGCUUUGAGACAAUGCCGCCAAGACCAAGUCCACAGCGGUUUAAUGUUGAGGUUUUACGCCCUUUAUUCUCUGCCCUGCUCACACUCCAUUGAAUUUGUCAUUCUAGACAGAUGCACACCCCAAUAAUCAUCCAUCUUACGCUUGCAGUAUCAGACAACUGACAGAUUACUUCCUGUGGCUGCUUGUGUUUUUGGUUUUCAUAGCUAUCUUUCCACCGUGUUAACAAUUGCUAGUUUGUUUUAUAGCAAAUAUGUCAUGGAGAAAGUGUGUGCUGUCUCUCCUGAUGCUGGAGGAGAUCACAUGUGCAAAUUGCUCCCCGGCAUCAUUACAUUGCUUAAGGCCACAGUGCAAAGGAAGCCAGUGCGGCUUUGUAAUAUCCUGCUGUGUAAUAAAUGCACACGUGUCUCACUGUUAUGGCGGUAACUUUGUGCUGUCUUCACAUGUAACAGCUCUGGAUUUACAGACACCUUAGGCUCAGGCCUAAAUGCUGAAAAUGAUGAGAUUGCACUUUAGCAGAGUUGUUAUGCUCAUUCAGUAUCUGCCACUAAUCUCACCAACAGCCACUUCAUUAAAGUAGUGUGCCAGUAAACGAUGGCUCUGUACUGUCGAUGUUCCAGCGCUCAUUGUUGUCGCACGGCAGCUGAAACACAGGCACGUAGCAGUCGCAGUGUACAGAUGGAUUUCAUUGCAAUACUCCAGACAGGCCUGUUAAUUUGCAAUUACAACAUUAAAAUAUUAAUUAUCGACUCAAUGGCCUCCUACUGUGCUGGUUGUCUCCUGUUAUCCCUCGAGACGAGUAAGAAUUUGUAUUUAGAUGAACAAAGACAGAGCUGCUGUUUACCUCUGUUGACUGCGUUCAGUAAUGUUGCAACACCCGUUGUCGAAAUAUCCGCUGGUCUCUUAGAGUUAAUUCAAUUAAAUUGUAAAAUGAUCUGUGGAGCUCUGUGUCUGCUCAAAAGCCUUCCCUGAAUGCACUUAAUAUGAAAUGUCUGUUUGCCCUUGGAUAAAAGUCCUUCACUGUUCCAUAGUCGGCUGCAUACGGAGACACACACACACAAUCUAAGAGGCAUUUCAUUCCAAAUGUGUGUUUAUCUAUGCUUAUUCAAUUGUCUGUUUACCCCCUGACUUACCGCUCACUUAAAACACAACUAAGAAAGCUGCAGGGAAAACUUCCACUGACACAGAAUAGGGACAAAGGCAGGGAAAUAAUGUGUAUCUGUAAUCAUUAUUGAAUGGGGGUGGGGUGGGACUAGUCCCGAAUGUGCUUAUGAAUUCUGAAUAAUUUUAAAUCCCUUAUUGAAUCAUGUUAAGUUGUUUGUUUUGUCAUCAAUGCCAAAUGCAAAAUAAUAUGUAACCAUGCCCAUUCUUUCAGGACUCUUUAGGCUGCAGCUCUGCACAAAGAUAAUGAUGCAACAUAAUGGCUGCCAAAAUAUAUAGACAAAAUAUCUCAAAUUUGACAUUUAAAAUGGUAUGGAAGGGGUUUCUGACGAUAUAAUCGGUGAUGAUAAUUGAUUUGACCAAAUUACAGAUCAUAUAAUGUCCUUGUCAAUGUGUACAUGCAUACAGCAGCUGGCAUUAUGAUUAAUGUAUGUGACGUUUUUAAGUAUAAUAGACAAAAAAAAUACAAUUCAUUAUUUUUUCAAACUCAGACUUCGUGGGCUGCAAUUGGGAUGAAGUGAACGUCUGUUGAGUAUUUUAACAUAAAAUUGUUUGAUUGCGUUAUUAUUAAAACCCCCAAGUACAGCGUGUCCAACAGACCCACAACACCGACUGUGUAACAAAAAAUUAACACCAUAGGAGGGUUAAACUAAAAACUACUAAGAACUACUUUCAGUAUUGUUUCAUCAUCAGUACUUUUGUGUAGUGUGUCUACUUUAUUCUAAGUGCCAACAAUACAGUGUGCAAACAUUCUGUCUUCCUCAGCUCUCCUUUUAAGUGAAAUCUCAUUUAUUCAACUCGUCUGUGGGAAAUCCCUCAAAGCACAGUCUCUCCCCCAACCACAACAUGUACUGACUCUCAGACUCUUCCUCAUGCAUCUAGUCAAAAGCACCGGUGUUUGUGUUUGUGUAGUUAAUCCACACACAUUUAUAUUCCAAACGGAGCCGCAUUGAGCUGCCUUUCCAUUUGGGUGCAGGUUGAAAUCACAUUGGGAUUCCGUUUUUUCAAUUGAAACUCUAGUUAAAAAAGCCCUUAAAAGUCUACAACCUAUACACACCAAAUCAACCACUACAGAAAAAAACUAGUAUUUUAUGUCUGCAGUUGCUUUCAAUGCUGAAUUUGUAACAAUUAUUGCCGCUGAAUAUUUAUGUGUCUGUUAGAAUAAUAAUAGACACAUUAUAAGGAUCAACCUGGUAUACUUUGACAGCAAAACGGUACGGUGCACCCCAGUUGGCGGAGAGCUUUGUCCCUCCCUGCAUGGAGAGAGAGAGGCGGAGCCCGGGGGACCUUUACCCCGCCCCUUUAGAGCCAGCCAGGUAGGAAAUACACCUGCUGAGGACCAGUCCGUUCUGGGGACAGAGCGACAAGAAGUCCAGGCUCAGAACUGCCUCCCACUCUCAUUUUCAGUUGCAAGUAUGAUUAACUGAGAUCAAGAAAAAGUAAAUGUAAAAUUCACGGUGAGGCCUGCGUAGCCACCAACGCCAGGUAAACCGCGGCAGGCUUUGCUCAGAUGGUGCUUUUAGUUGGCAUGCUCAUGACUUGUAAUGCUGUCUCUCUAGAGGACUCUUCCACCCAUUUCCGUGAAAUUGAUUUGCGCGCCGUGAAAUUACGGGAAGUGGUUCAGGUGGAAGAGAAAAUCUCCAAUGAAGUUGCCACCUCGCCGAGGAACAGUCACUCCGCUUGAUCCGGUGCCGAUCUCAAACGAGGACCUCCUCGUCCUCGAGCCACCGUUCAGCUCUACCACUGUAGAGAGGAGCAACCGGAGCUUCGGCACCAACAUCUUCUCUCCUCUGUCACUUACGGGGUCACCGUGCUUCUGGCAUCAAUUGCCCAUCAGAUUCUCAGCGGAGGGUUAUUUGUCGUCUGGGUUUAGGAAGCGGUGUGAAACGCGGGAAGCUUUGUGAUUCCUGCUGAAAACGUGAAGCACGUGGAGGGGAAGAGGUGCCCUCAUGUGCGUAUCUUAAAUGUCUGUAAUUUCACUCUCAAAAGAUUUGAUCACAGCACUCUCAAUUAGUUAAGAGUUAGAAUCGUGUUUGAACAAAAACACACGGUACGGAGCACAGGCUCUUUCAAGCUUUGCUGUGGCGCUGCCGGAUGAAUGAGACAGUUUUAGACUCCUUUGUUGUGCCAUGCCCUCUAUUUCACUCCAUGCCGCGAACUAAAGACGUCAGCUUCGGCUGAUCAGCUCUUCCCCUCGUCACUCCCUCUAAUCAGUGGAUUGAGGUCGCAAUUACACACCAGUCUUGCUUCUUACUCUUUCUCGUUGACUUUGUGUAUGUGUGGGCAUUUUGCUUAUGCAUGUGUGGGAUUGGGAGAUGCAUUGUGUGCUUGCAGAGGAAAUUAUUUUUUUUGCAAUUUCUUUUUUGCAAGGUAGAGGAUAAUAAAAAAGUAGAUUAUUUCACAGCUAAUGCAUGACUUUUUCUGAUGGCAUUCACAGUUGAGGAAUAAUUAAGGGAUAAUAAUAAGUGCUGCAAUGUAGUUGAAAAGAAGCUCGUGAAGACAGGGAUGAAUAAGUUAGCUUACUUAAAAUACUGGAUAAAAUGCUGGACAAAUGCAGCAAAAAAAUUACUUUUACAAAUACUGUUUUCCGACUUGAUUCAUGAUUAGUAAUAUUAGGGAUGUUAACCCUUCACAUUCAAACAGAUAACUGUAACCAACUAUGUCUAUUUUUUUGCCACUUUACAUUUGUCACGGUUUGGGUUUAUUUCCUGUCUUAUUUUGUAGUUUUCUGCCUCUUGUCUCCCUGGGUAACUGCACUUCCUGCCUUGUCCUGUCAUCCCCUGUGAUUGUCUGCCGUGUCAUGAUUGUUUCCACCUGUGUCCAAUCACCUGCACCUUCCCAGUGUAUUUAAGUCAUGUGUGUCUCUUGUCCCUUGUCGUGUCCUGUAGUCCUAGUCAGUGUUCCUGGUUCAUGUCUGAAUUUUUCUCCCUUGGCCUUCUUGUUUUGGAAUUUUGACUAUUAAAGUAUUUUUGUUUUCUCGAAACUCUGCGUUUGAGUCCUGCCUUCACCGCAUCCGUGACAAUAUUGUAAUAACAACAAUAAAAUAUCACACUGUGCGAGAGGAGAGGUCUGUUCAACCAGGUGACUCGUUCUUUGUGUGUGUGUCACAGCAGAGACACUGGUGGAAAGAAGUAGGCGGACCAUGAAUAAUGCAUGAGCUUGACAGAAGAAACAGAACUCAACUUUUUGCUCCUGAAAUGGUCAAUGAAGUUGUUCUGCCUUCCUUGUGCAUUAAUGUGCAAAUGUUCUGCGAUACUCGACUGUGAUUCAUUUUUGUGAUUCAUGAUGUAUAACAUCAUCCACCCGCCACCCAUUUCUUAUUAAUCAGAAUUUAAAACAUUAUGCACUUGCAAUUGUAUUUCACUGCAGUUGUAUCUUGUACUAAAUGACGAAAUAAAUUAAUUGAUUGAUAACAUAAAGCAUGCAUCAAGGAUAAAUAUGCCAUCCUUAUUAAAGUUAUUUUAGUAAGAUGAAACAAAUAAUAUAUUCUAUUUACAGCAUGCCGUUGAGAACCUACUAAGCUGAGGAGCACAGGCUUUAUAGCAAAUGUCACACUGUGGUCAAAUGGUAGAAUUAGAGAUACUAUGUCUGUCAUGUGACAAUAUAUUUCCCAGAGAUUUAAAUUGAAAAAAAGAUAUCUGUAACUCAACGGAUGAUUUUAGCUGAAGGAGAAUCCAAGUAAAGCUACACUGAAAUAACCAUCAUGUAAAUCAUUUGACCAAGAAAGUUGAGAAAUGCACCAAUGCACGGUGCACACAAAUAAGGUUUCCAAAUAGCAACUCUAAGACACAAGUGCACUUCCUAAAUACCUAGAGAGUUUUAUAUAUUACAUUAUUCCAUUAAAGUUGUUUUGACAGAAAACAAGCAAAUAAAUCAUUUGACAGGGACCUCUCGUCUCUUGAAGAGAACUCAUCGUGAAAUCCCUCCCCAGACUGAUCUCACUGGGAGCAAACUGGCAACCAUUCAAUCACACGACGUAGGAGAGAAGCUGCGAUGAAAGUGGGUUAGAGAAACUGAGCAGCGGAAUCACUGGCGCAACGCGUGUGUUUUUCAGAUAUUUUGGAGCAUCUCAGGCAGCGAUUGUUUUUCUAAAAUGAACAUACAGCACACCAACAUUUCAACCACCAAGUGUAACCAAUGUUUCCAGGCAACGUGGAACUGAAAGUCGCGCGGUUGAAAAUGGCUCGGUGGGAUCGUGGGAGUUGGGAUUUUUUUUUAACUGAAACUCUUUGUACUCGACCCUCGACAGUCCAUAUCGAGGCCUCGGGGGGAGCUCCGGGGACUGAUAAAAACUUCACUAAUGGGUGAAAUGUUUCAUCUCUCCAUCUCAUCUCCUGCAACUGUGUUUGUCUAUCACUCUGUUUUGUGUCGUCUCCCUUCCACUGCGUACUCUCGUCGCCUCCUGUCCCACUUUGUCGCUCCUUAUGUCUCACCUGGUUUUCAGACUGUCAGCGAAACUUAAAAGCUUCUUCUUCUCCUCUGAUAUCUUCUGAAGCGAAAGGGAGGAGUCUAAAUGAUGUGUGAACGUUCUGCGUCGAGAUAAAAUUACACAAGAGACGGGAAGCCUUACUCUUACUCUGGUAGCUCAUGUUCAAUACGUGUCACGGUUACUAACCAUUGUCAGCUAUUGUCUGUCUCUCUGUCAAGACUCCUGCUGGUCAGUGUUCUGCACUGUGAUAGGGGGGCGUUAUACCAGCCCGACCAUCAACAACUGUAUAUUGAUCCAAAGGAACAUGUCCGGAGUGUAAAGAGCAGCAGGCAUAUUCUUUUUAUUUACACGCACACACGUUAAGGCAGAAAACUGGACACCACUUACAGGACCUGCAGUGAACCCUGCUAUUGUAGCUGGUAUUGUCGUCUAUUUUCCUUAUUGUACCAUAUUUAUAUGCAAGACUGGCAUUUUAAAGGGAUUUACUUUUGUUCAUUACCGGUUCAUUUUUUGCCGACUUUAAACCAGUGUCAUGCAACCACAUGUUGUAUCGUGUUAAGGGUAGUCUAUACGUGCGUUUUGAAAAAAUACAUUUAAAUACAUGUUGUUAACAUCAUAGUAUCUGGAGUUUGUAUUCAGCUUCUUGCCCCUAGACUUUGUUAUGGACAGUAACCGGUGCACUGGUCAUUUAUUUAUUCUUUAGCAGUAUUAGCAAAUCAGCUUCGGACAUUAGCAUUGAUAGUUAAAAAAACUACUUUAUUUUGUUAUUGAGAGAAGAGAAUACAAAAACAUAACAUUAGAGACCUAACAAAAGUCACUAUUCUUAAUCAUUAAACACAUAAAGAACAUAAACACCAUUGCUUUCUGAAGAAUAUAAAAACACAGGAUUGACGUGGACCGUAAUUAAGCCCUCUGCAGUUUCCGCUCUACUUCCU
Long non-coding RNA from Gasterosteus aculeatus aculeatus (three-spined stickleback), 9547 nucleotides. The record is from Ensembl. NCBI's taxonomy places the organism in Eukaryota, Metazoa, Chordata, Actinopteri, Perciformes, Gasterosteidae.